UUCAGUUUCUGAUUGCACAUGUUUCUUCCCAUACAUUACCUCCUCAAUUUUGAUGCGUCAUACGUUUUUAACUUAUAGUUUUUUUACUUAGGUGGUAUGAUUUAAUUUGACGGUAUUAUACAUUCAACCUGCCAAGAAACUGUGUGAAAAUGAGCCUGUAUGGUGCUAAACGUGGUUCACCCAAAGCACAUGUUCUCAUUGAGCUUCGUUGGUAUUUCAGGCACUGAUUUCUGUUCAUUGUGAUGAUUGUAGCUUACAGUUAAUAAAAACACAAAACUUAGCUUCUUAGAAAAUUCAAAUAUUACAUAGGACCACUAAAAAACAAAGAUUUGAUGACCUUGUUUGACCUUUACAACAGCAGCCUUUACCCUCUCAGAAUAACUGCCUGUCUGGACCGACAGCCAGCAGCAGAACUUUACAGCUUAAAACUGAAGUUAAACCUGACCAAUCAGGUCUCUGCUGGCGACCCGAUCUGUGAACACUGUGUGUUGGUCCAGGGGAGAGGAGGUUGGAGCUCCUGCAGAAAUAACCCCAUUCCAACAUGCAUCAGGGACCUUCGACCCCAAACAACCACUUAGGUGUUCUGAUGGAGAGCUUUCUCUGUGCUGGGGCCUCACCCAGGGAUGGUCCUCCUCUGGACAUGAGGACAACGGACACCAUUUUGCAUGCCUCCAGAAGCUCGUUCUCUUCUCCAAACGUUUUUCUGUGUAAUUGACCUUUAUUUAGUGUUUUUCCUUUGUAUGUGUCUGUCUGUAUGCUUCAUGUGAUGUUCUUAUUGUGUUUUGAAAAACUGCUCUAUCAAUAAAGCAUUUAAUUACUUAUUAACCUUCUCUUCAUCCAUGAGAUCACUGAGGUCACCAUGGAAACCGAGGUGUGAGUCCUGCACAGGAUCUCUGACUCAUUUCCAGCUGAUGUUUCCUCCAUUAAUCUACGCAGGUGUUGGGAAAAGAAAUCGUGAUUUAGUGUCCUCCUCAGGUGAACAGUGUGGGCGGGCUGCUUGUGUCUAAAUGAAUCCACGUGUGAGCUUAGGAGGAGAGGAGGAGAUAACUCCUCGCUUCAGACCAGGGCCAGAGAAGCUGGUCGGAGCUGAAGGGAGGAUGGAUGGAGCUAAAUCCAGGACAAUCCCUGAAGAAACCUGUUGGAGGCUGCAGAAGAAUGAAGACUGGGGUGGAGGUUCACCUUCUAGCAGGACAACUACCCUGAACAUCCAACCAGAGCUACAAGAUGUUUACAUGAAGGCAUAUCCAUGUGUUAAAAUGGCCUAGUCAAAGUCAUCAUGGAAUCCAUGGCAAAACUUGAAACAAAUUAAUGAGGAAUGGGCACAAAUUUCAGUCUGUAAAAAGCAGGAAGAGAGUUUUUGCUGUUGUAACUAUGGCAACAUGUGGUUCUAUAAAGUAAUUACUCAUGGGACUGAAAACAAAGGCAUGCCAUACUUUUCAGAUUUUUAAAACCUUUGUAAAAGAAAAGGAAUGACUUUCCCUCCACUUUCCCAAUUAGUCCCUACUCUGUGUUGAUCUAUAACAAACAAUUUCAAUAAAAUACACUGAAUUCAUGCUCGUCACAUGACACAGUGUAGAAAAAUUCAAA
Long non-coding RNA from Girardinichthys multiradiatus, 1587 nucleotides. RefSeq lists it as uncharacterized. The record is from RefSeq and is a predicted model, not a curated record. Lineage: Eukaryota; Metazoa; Chordata; Actinopteri; Cyprinodontiformes; Goodeidae. The transcript is spliced from 2 exons.